GCGGCGCGGAAGGAGCUCGACGCGCGACCCCAAACGCAAGUUAGCAGGUGGCGAGAAGGCAGGAGGACACGGCCCCCAACCGGCAGAAAACCAUCGGGAGACGCGGACCCAGCUAAGACCGACGGGAAGAUUAGACGAGCACUGAAACAGAGGAGAAUGCCAGCAGAAGCCUGUCCGAUGCCUGGCGGAGACCACUUCCAGAGAGGCACGCGGGGGCCCCGAACGUCACCCCAAACCCACCGGGACGCGAGGGGGCCACCCCCGCGCUGCAGGCGCUGCGGGACAGAGACACACAGGACUGAGUCUGGGUCCAGACCAACAACUACCAUUGGAACUCGUGUGAAAUUACGCUUUGCCAUUUGAUUCCUCCCUUACUGAUUAAAUCUACACGGCGGUGCCCGGAGACAGGGCGGCCGAGGGCCCCGCAA
Long non-coding RNA from Suricata suricatta (meerkat), 428 nucleotides. RefSeq lists it as uncharacterized. The record is from RefSeq and is a predicted model, not a curated record. The transcript is spliced from 2 exons. Lineage: Eukaryota; Metazoa; Chordata; Mammalia; Carnivora; Herpestidae.